This 468-nucleotide ribosomal RNA is filed under the name uncultured bacterium. Its description in RNAcentral is "partial 16S ribosomal RNA". It matches the Rfam family "Bacterial small subunit ribosomal RNA", at positions 28 to 507 of the family's 1533-position model. The record is from RNAcentral.
GACGAACGCUGGCGGCGUGCUUAACACAUGCAAGUCGAACGGUGAAGCUCCAGCUUGCUGGAGUGGAUCAGUGGCGAACGGAUGAGUAACACGUGAGCAACCUGCCCCUGACUCUGGAAUAAGCGCUGGAAACGGCGUCUAAUACUGGAUACGAGAAGGGUCCGCAUGGGCACUUUCUGGAAAGUUUUUCGGUUGGGGAUGGGCUCGCGGCCUAUCAGCUUGUUGGUGAGGUAAUGGCUCACCAAGGCGACGACGGGUAGCCGGCCUGAGAGGGCGACCGGCCACACUGGGACUGAGACACGGCCCAGACUCCUACGGGAGGCAGCAGUGGGGAAUAUUGCACAAUGGGCGAAAGCCUGAUGCAGCGACGCCGCGUGAGGGAUGACGGCCUUCGGGUUGUAAACCUCUUUCAGCAGGGAAGAAGCGAAAGUGACGGUACCUGCAGAAGAAGCACCGGCUAACUACGUG